This 465-nucleotide ribosomal RNA is filed under the name Vreelandella stevensii. Its description in RNAcentral is "partial 16S ribosomal RNA". It matches the Rfam family "Bacterial small subunit ribosomal RNA", at positions 338 to 795 of the family's 1533-position model. Lineage: Bacteria; Pseudomonadati; Pseudomonadota; Gammaproteobacteria; Oceanospirillales; Halomonadaceae. The record is from RNAcentral.
CCUACGGGCGGCAGCAGUGGGGAAUAUUGGACAAUGGGGGCAACCCUGAUCCAGCCAUGCCGCGUGUGUGAAGAAGGCCCUCGGGUUGUAAAGCACUUUCAGUGAGGAAGAACGCCUGGUGGUUAAUACCCAUCAGGAAAGACAUCACUCACAGAAGAAGCACCGGCUAACUCCGUGCCAGCAGCCGCGGUAAUACGGAGGGUGCGAGCGUUAAUCGGAAUUACUGGGCGUAAAGCGCGCGUAGGUGGCUUGAUAAGCCGGUUGUGAAAGCCCCGGGCUCAACCUGGGAACGGCAUCCGGAACUGUCAAGCUAGAGUGCAGGAGAGGAAGGUAGAAUUCCCGGUGUAGCGGUGAAAUGCGUAGAGAUUGGGAGGAAUACCAGUGGCGAAGGCGGCCUUCUGGACUGACACUGACACUGAGGUGCGAAAGCGUGGGUAGCAAACAGGAUUAGAUACCCUGGUAGUC